CCAGACUCCUACGGGAGGCAGCAGUGAGGAAUAUUGGUCAAUGGCCGAGAGGCUGAACCAGCCAAGUCGCGUGAGGGAAGACGGCCCUACGGGUUGUAAACCUCUUUUGUCGGGGAGCAAAGCGAACCACGUGUGGUUCAUUGAGAGUACCCGAAGAAAAAGCAUCGGCUAACUCCGUGCCAGCAGCCGCGGUAAUACGGAGGAUGCGAGCGUUAUCCGGAUUUAUUGGGUUUAAAGGGUGCGUAGGCGGACUGCCAAGUCAGCGGUAAAAUACGGGGGCUCAACCUCCGCCCGUCGUUGAAACUGACGGUCUUGAGUGGGCGAGAAGUAUGCGGAAUGCGUGGUGUAGCGGUGAAAUGCAUAGAUAUCACGCAGAACUCCGAUUGCGAAGGCAGUAUACCGGCGCCCAACUGACGCUGAAGCACGAAAGCGUGGGUAUCGAACAGGAUUAGAUACCCUGGUAGG
RNAcentral lists this ribosomal RNA (465 nucleotides) under uncultured bacterium. RNAcentral's name for it is "bacterial SSU rRNA". It matches the Rfam family "Bacterial small subunit ribosomal RNA", at positions 331 to 794 of the family's 1533-position model. The record is from RNAcentral.